This 212-nucleotide ribosomal RNA is filed under the name Lejeunea thallophora. RNAcentral's name for it is "partial 26S ribosomal RNA". The stretch from base 134 to 212 matches the Rfam family "Eukaryotic large subunit ribosomal RNA", at positions 1 to 79 of the family's 3401-position model. Lineage: Eukaryota; Viridiplantae; Streptophyta; Jungermanniopsida; Porellales; Lejeuneaceae. The record is from RNAcentral.
AUUUGGAACAUGGGUGCGGGAAAGACUCGGGAGUCGUCCCCUCCGUCUGCGGCUGUCUCUCUCCCCCCUUGCGGGGACGGGAGAGAGAAGCGGAGAGGAGGGGCGGAUUCCGGGUCCGAACGCGGAGUUGUUGGGACCUCAGAUCAGGCAAGACCACCCGCUGAGUUUAAGCAUAUCACUAAGCGGAGGAGAAGAAACUAACAAGGAUUUCC